This 429-nucleotide ribosomal RNA is filed under the name Actinomycetes bacterium. RNAcentral's name for it is "Actinobacteria bacterium partial 16S ribosomal RNA". It matches the Rfam family "Bacterial small subunit ribosomal RNA", at positions 355 to 776 of the family's 1533-position model. Lineage: Bacteria; Bacillati; Actinomycetota; Actinomycetes. The record is from RNAcentral.
UAGGGAAUCUUCCGCAAUGGGCGAAAGCCUGACGGAGCAACGCCGCGUGAGUGAUGAAGGUCUUCGGAUCGUAAAACUCUGUUAUUAGGGAAGAACAAAUGUGUAAGUAACUAUGCCCGUCUUGACGGUACCUAAUCAGAAAGCCACGGCUAACUACGUGCCAGCAGCCGCGGUAAUACGUAGGUGGCAAGCGUUAUCCGGCAUUAUUGGGCGUAAAGCGCGCGUAGGCGGUUUUUUAAGUCUGAUGUGAAAGCCCACGGCUCAACCGUGGAGGGUCAUUGGAAACUGGAAAACUUGAGUGCAGAAGAGGAAAGUGGAAUUCCAUGUGUAGCGGUGAAAUGCGCAGAGAUAUGGAGGAAACCCAGUGGCAAAGGCGACUUUCUGGUCUGUAACUGACGCUGAUGUGCGAAAGCGUGGGGAUCAAACAGG